This 343-nucleotide ribosomal RNA is filed under the name uncultured Desulfobulbus sp. RNAcentral's name for it is "bacterial SSU rRNA". It matches the Rfam family "Bacterial small subunit ribosomal RNA", at positions 1041 to 1382 of the family's 1533-position model. The record is from RNAcentral. Lineage: Bacteria; Pseudomonadati; Thermodesulfobacteriota; Desulfobulbia; Desulfobulbales; Desulfobulbaceae.
CUGCAUGGCGUGUCGUCAGCUCGUGUCGUGAGAUGUUGGGUUAAGUCCGUAACCGAGCGCAACCCUUGUCCUUAGUUACCAGCACGUUAUGGUGGGCACUCUAAGGAGACUGCCGGUGACAAACCGGAGGAAGGUGGGGAUGACGUCAAGUCAUCAUGGCCCUUACGGCCUGGGCUACACACGUACUACAAUGGCCGAUACAAAGGGCAGCGACACUGCGAGGUGAAGCCAAUCCCGUAAAAUCGGUCUCAGUCCGGAUUGGAGUCUGCAACUCGACUCCAUGAAGUUGGAAUCGCUAGUAAUCGUGGAUCAGCAUGCCACGGUGAAUACGUUCCCGGGCCUU